CCUACGGGAGGCAGCAGUGGGGGAUAUUGCACAAUGGGGGAAACCCUGAUGCAGCGACGCCGCGUGGAGGAAGAAGGUUUUCGGAUUGUAAACUCCUGUCGUUAGGGACGAUAAUGACGGUACCUAACAAGAAAGCACCGGCUAACUACGUGACCAGCAG
RNAcentral lists this ribosomal RNA (160 nucleotides) under uncultured bacterium. RNAcentral's name for it is "partial 16S ribosomal RNA". It matches the Rfam family "Bacterial small subunit ribosomal RNA", at positions 338 to 514 of the family's 1533-position model. The record is from RNAcentral.